CUCAAAUUAAAGCAGGGCAGAGCCAUAAAACUAUUAUAAUCCAGGGGAACCUGGAUUUGGGGCCUUUUCAUUUUGAAAGCAAUAUCCAAAUCUACCCAGAAAGUCUAAUUAAAUCCUUACGGAUCUACUUCUAAUUGGCUGCUAUCCAAUUAGCAUUCUGAAACCUGAAUGCUCAGAUCAGCCCUCCUUCCCAUCUUGGUGGAGGGGCAGGGGGAGUACAUUAGAGGAACAAAAGAACAAAAAAGAGGCUUUAAGCUUCUGCUAGAAGCCAGUAUCACAAAUCUAGAAUGACAAGCCAAAGCCAAGAUAUAGUUGGCCAGGGGCAGCCAGUAUCCUUCAUUUUCUUAUUCAUUCAUUAAUUCACUCAUUUAUCAGGUGGACAUUUGCAGGGCACCAGUGAUGCUGUCAGGCACCAUGUUUGGUGAUGAGUUACCAGAUGGUCCUAGCAGAUGAAAAGACUGGGAACCCACUGGGAAGGAUACAAAAAUUAUUACACAGCUAUCAGAGCAAGAGGGAGGUUAGUAAAAGCUGGUGGACCUUAAAGUUUCUCUACUUUUGCAAGUGUAAAAACUGGGGUAAAGAUAGAGUUUGGGAUAACGGACACAGCCAUAGCCAAAGAAUGAGUCUAGUGUCUAUAGAGAAGUUGUGAUAUUUGGAAUUUUCCAUGUGCAAACACACACGCACAUGCACGCGCACACGCACACACACCACACACUCCUCACCUUUGCCAUUUUCAUAGGGAAACAUGAAGAAACAAGUAUAUGGAUUUUGGAAUUGGGCAGUGUUUUAUUUCAGCCCCAUGUUCGCUUGCUAGCUAUGUGAUAUGUGACUUUGGGCAACUUGUUUAUCUUUUCUGGGAAAACAUAUACCUCUAGGGGUGCAGUAAGGGAUAACUGGGAACAGUGGAGUGUGUGCCUGGUACAAAGCCUGCGGUGUAGAUGCCAUUUAAUAAAUGAUGGUUUUCUCUAUCCUGCAUCUUGAGAGUAGAUCCAAUCUAUUGUUUAUUCUUUACAGUAGGCAUGGUAGAGUAAAAGGAACAAAGGAAUCGAGGGAGGAAGGGAAGAAAAAAUGAGAAAAACCAUAAGGCCAGGCGCGGUAGCUCACGCCAGUAAUCCUAAUACUUUGGGAAGCUGAGGCGGGUGGGCGGACCACGAAGUCAGGAGUUCGAGACCAGCCUGACCAAUAUGGCAAAACCCCAUCUCUACUAAAAAUCCCAAAAAAAAAAAAAAAAAAAAAAAAAAGUUAGCCGGGUAUGGUGGCACGUGCCUGUAAUCCCAGCUUCUGGGGAGGCUGAAGCAGGAGAAUUGCUUGAAACCGGGAGGUGGAGGUUGCAGUGAGCCGGGAUC
RNAcentral lists this long non-coding RNA (1346 nucleotides) under Homo sapiens (human). Its description in RNAcentral is "HSALNT0143577". The record is from RNAcentral. Lineage: Eukaryota; Metazoa; Chordata; Mammalia; Primates; Hominidae.